UGGAUUAAAUGAAGUCAUUUUUCCUAUUAAAAUUUUGAAUUCAGAUAAGAACCACUCCUCUUUGUCUUUCUCUUGCAUUAUAAAUAUGUUGGUCUGUUACCCAGAAAUUACUAUUAAGUAUUUCUGUGUUUAAACAAAGUGGUUCAGAAAGAAUCCUUGGAAAGAAGGAAAAUCUGUGUCUCUUUGCUUAGUUGAUUGUACAAAACAAGUGGAUAAACCACAUUUAAACGGCUCAUUUUAAAAAGUUAUAGAAUAUUAUUGUGUAAUUAACUGAUUUUACUUAACGAAACACAGCUUUAUUAGGUAACUUAUUAUGGAAUAUUCCCAUAUAAAGAGUAACAUAAGACUUGAAAAUAAAACAGUGAGUUUGCUUCUAAAACUAAAAUAUGUCAUUUAAGCAAAUAAAUAAUAGACUCUAAUAUUAAAACUGUAAACUGAGUUGUUGGAGCAUACAGUUGACGUUAAAGGAUUAUCUGAUGUUUCAUGUAUAGCUGACAUUUUACAAUAUUGCAGAGUUGGAGGAUUCAGGCUAAGUUAAAAAUAAGCAGGACUUAUAGUGAAUGACAAUAUUACAGGUGGAUCUGGUUUGCCUUGUUCCAUAUCUAUUAAAAUUUUACUUAAAAUUAAAAUUCUCUCUUCACAAACUUUAAUUACUUACAAUUAAGUAUAACAGAAGUCACUGGAGAACUGUAACAAACACAAUGAUUUCAAAUUUGCCAUUUACCGGCAUGUAGGGAUUUCUCAACGAAAAGAAUGCUUGGAAGAAAAAUUGAAUAAUUUGCUUAAUAUUGUCUAUGCAAGAGAAAAAUUAUAACAGGAACAGGUUAUUCUAAGCAUAAUUCCACAACCACUACGGACGAAUUAUUGUAAUACCUUAGAUGUAUCAGUUUAGGUUGAAAUAGAUUUUUUAAUUAAAAUGAUUAAAACACAAAAUUAAGCUCUGGUAUUGUGAAAAUGUACAAAAUUAUUACAAUUCAUGGAGUAUUUCCAAAUUUUAAAAGCAUCUCAACGUGAUAGAUGGACACUUUCUAAGGAACACAGAUCAGCCUGUGCCAGGCUGAAUUCACAACAGCCAAAGCUCUGAUGGAUUGACGGGCACCUUAAAUCUUUCUUCCUAUGGUUUCAAUAUUUUAAAGUGCCAGGCACUGUUGUCAGGGAUUCAAACUGGUAUGGUCACAGGGCAUAAGGGAGUAGAUUAAAAUUGUUAAUCAUUUAUUGAAAUCGAAAUCACAGCAAUUAGCUCUGCUUUGUUUUUAUGGAAAAGCAGUAUUCCUUUUCAGGAAUCUUGACUACUUUUCCUGCAGCACUAGAGCUAUAAGAUAAAGUCACUCAUAAAUUAAAUAUGGAAAGAAGGCACCUACGAUUGCUAGAAAAUAAGUGAAGCAUCCCUAUCUUUUCAGCAAAGAACACAUUUAGCAACUCUUCAUGCUUACAGGACUGCCAAAAAUAAAUCUCUGCAUUUUCAUAAACUCUUCACAAAGCUCAGAACGUCAGCUAUGCAAAGUUAGACAUGGAUGCCCUGAGUACACAAACAGCUUUGCCUCAUCUGGGGAAAUCCAAACUGAGUGGUAAUUUUGGAAAUGGUGGUCAGUCAAGCGGAAAUCACUUUGAAACAUUUUAUUGGUGGACUCCACACACAGCUUGUGAAGCCCUGGCUCCCUGACCCUACUAGAAGCUGGUCACAGAUUGAUGGGAAGGUCUCUUAGAGGUCAUCUACCCAGGCCUCCAGCCAGUUCAGAAAUCUAACAAGGAAAUUCUCCGACUCUGCUUAGGCAUUUCCAGGAGGCAGGUAGAUGGAGUUUACAAUCUGGCUGCCAAAACCCUGCUCAUCCUGGGAGCCCUGAUCCCAUAGGGCUAUUACUGGAGUACUAAGCUGUGCACCAUAUCACGUGUAGCAGAAUUCAAAGGAACAUUAUUCACACAGACGGCACAGUAACCAUUACCUUCAGAUCUAAGAGAACCUUAUCCCAGCAGAUGAGGUUGAGAAUACAACUAAAAUGUUUAGAUUCAGGGGAAAUUCAACUUAGAGAAUCUAGUCUGCAAAGUCUAAGCUCUACCAAGAGGGACCCAUCAUAGACGAGUUUUAGAAUUUUGAAAGAGUUCUAGAAUUGGGAGCAGAGUCUUGCAAAAUGUAUAAUAAUGCCAGUGACACAAUUCUGUCAAGUCCUUCCAGGGUGCCAGGAUUGGGACUGAGUAUGCGGACUAUUUUUACGUAUAUUAACUUAUUUCAACCUUUUAUCCACUCUGUGAGAAUUGCUAAUGAACGACCUGCUGUGUUGCAAAUCUCUCAGCCCCCACGCUGACCUACAGCAGCGACCAGGACUAGUGAGAAGAGCGGAAGCCGUCCAGCUUCAUUCAGCAAGUCGUUAUCGCUGCAGAGGUUGCUCUGUAUGAUUUAAACAUUAAGGAAGAAAAAAACAAGAAAGCAUUUUGAAAUGAAAAGCAAACUAAACACCCCAAACGCUUCUUAUUUACAUCGAUUAAAUUUCAGAAAAGAA
Equus caballus (horse) is the source of this 2498-nucleotide non-coding RNA. Lineage: Eukaryota; Metazoa; Chordata; Mammalia; Perissodactyla; Equidae. The record is from RefSeq and is a predicted model, not a curated record.